Molecule: ribosomal RNA, 433 nt
Filed under: uncultured bacterium
Lineage: Bacteria
Description: partial 16S ribosomal RNA
Rfam family: Bacterial small subunit ribosomal RNA
Source: RNAcentral
AACGAACGCUGGCGGCAUGCCUAACACAUGCAAGUCGAACGAUCCCUUCGGGGAUAGUGGCGCACGGGUGCGUAACGCGUGGGAACCUGCCCUUAGGUUCGGAAUAACUCAGAGAAAUUUGAGCUAAUACCGGAUAAUGUCUUCGGACCAAAGAUUUAUCGCCUUUGGAUGGGCCCGCGUUGGAUUAGCUAGUUGGUGGGGUAAAGGCCUACCAAGGCGACGAUCCAUAGCUGGUCUGAGAGGAUGAUCAGCCACACUGGGACUGAGACACGGCCCAGACUCCUACGGGAGGCAGCAGUGGGGAAUAUUGGAAAAUGGGCGAAAGCCUGAUCCAGCAAUGCCGCGUGAGUGAUGAAGGCCUUAGGGUUGUAAAGCUCUUUUACCCGGGAUGAUAAUGACAGUACCGGGAGAAUAAGCCCCGGCUAACUCCGUG